This 492-nucleotide ribosomal RNA is filed under the name uncultured bacterium. RNAcentral describes it as "partial 16S ribosomal RNA". It matches the Rfam family "Bacterial small subunit ribosomal RNA", at positions 29 to 507 of the family's 1533-position model. The record is from RNAcentral.
AAUGAACGCUGGCGGCGUGCCUUACACAUGCAAGUCGAACGGUAACACGCCUUCGUGUGCUGACGGAUGUCGAACGGGGAAGUAAUGCAUCCGAACGUGCCCCGUAGCUGGGGGUAACGCAGCGCAAGCUGUGCUAAUACCUCAUGUCAGCUGAUAUUGAAAACGGGGGACCACGCAGCAAUGAUUCGCCUCGCGCUUUUGUAACGGCCGAUGUCGGAUUAGGUAGGUGGUGAGGUAAAGGCCCACCAAGCCGACGCUCUGUAGCAGUUCUGACCGGACGACCAGACACACUGGAACUGAGACACGGUCCAGACUCCUACGGGAGGCAGCAGUGGGGAAUCUUGCGCAAUGGGCGAAAGCCUGAUCGAGCAAUGCCGCGUGAGGGAAGAAGGACUUCGGAUCGUAAACCGCUGUUGUACGGAACGAAAAGAAGCUGGCUUAUCCGUGCGGAUGAUGACGGUACCGUAAGAAUAAGCAACGGCUAACUACGUG